AGCGGCUUCUGGGCGCGGAUCUUAAUGGCUGCCGGAAUCCGGAAAUAACAUUCGGGGCCAAGAUGGCGGCGGCGGCCGUGCUGGGCUGCGUCGCUAAGAGACACUCGGCCGCCUGGAGAGGCCAGAUGCACUCCUGCCGUUCUGCAGCCUCCGUUCUAGUGAAACCAGGGGUUGUGUCCUCAUUUCACUAGGCACCAGGAGCAGAAACACAGGCUUGAAAAGAUUCUGGCAAAAAGCAGCGUGGAAUCACUGACUUGGACAGGAUGGAUUCGCCAUAAAUUUACGAAGUCAAGAAUUCCAGCUUCAGUAUUUCAGCCACGGCCUUCAGAUCAUGAAAAAUAUGGAGGUGAUCCUCAGCAGCCUCACAAACUGCAUCUUGUCACUAGAAUCAAAAGUGGAAUAGGUCGUCCAUACUGG
Molecule: RNA transcript, 417 nt
Organism: Dermochelys coriacea (leatherback sea turtle)
Lineage: Eukaryota; Metazoa; Chordata; Testudines; Dermochelyidae
Exons: 4
Source: RefSeq, a predicted model, not a curated record